GGGGGUGUAGCUCAGUGGCAGAGCACUUGCCUAGCAAGCAUGACUCCCCCA
This 51-nucleotide transfer RNA is filed under the name Fukomys damarensis (Damara mole-rat). It matches the Rfam family "tRNA". From Rfam's summary of the family: Transfer RNA (tRNA) molecules are approximately 80 nucleotides in length. The record is from Rfam by way of RNAcentral. Lineage: Eukaryota; Metazoa; Chordata; Mammalia; Rodentia; Bathyergidae.